Molecule: transfer RNA, 73 nt
Filed under: Stegodyphus mimosarum
Lineage: Eukaryota; Metazoa; Arthropoda; Arachnida; Araneae; Eresidae
Rfam family: tRNA
About the family: Transfer RNA (tRNA) molecules are approximately 80 nucleotides in length. Their secondary structure includes four short double-helical elements and three loops (D, anti-codon, and T loops).
Source: Rfam by way of RNAcentral
ACCUUUGUGGUGUAGUGGUCAGCACCUUCGACGCAUAACCGAGAGGUCCGUGGUUCGAUUCCCGGCGAAGGCG